RNAcentral lists this ribosomal RNA (775 nucleotides) under uncultured Neocallimastigales. RNAcentral's name for it is "partial large subunit ribosomal RNA". It matches the Rfam family "Eukaryotic large subunit ribosomal RNA", at positions 18 to 643 of the family's 3401-position model. The record is from RNAcentral. Lineage: Eukaryota; Fungi; Neocallimastigomycota; Neocallimastigomycetes; Neocallimastigales.
UCAGACGAUGCGUCAUGCAUAUCAAUAAGCGGAGGAAAAGAAACUAACAAGGAUUCCCCUAGUAACGGCGAGUGAAGCGGGAAGAGCUCAAAUUUGAAAUCUUAAAGGGUUUCCCUUUACGAAUUGUAGUUUAAAGAGGUGUUUUCUGUUGAGGUUUUGGUAAAAGUUCUUUGGAAUAGGACAUCAUAGAGGGUGAGAAUCCCGUAUUUGACCUUUACUUUCAACUUUGUGAUACACUUUCAAAGAGUCGGAUUGUUUGGGAAUGCAGUCCAAAAUGAGGUGGUAAAUUUCAUCUAAAGCUAAAUAUUGGCGAGAGACCGAUAGCGAACAAGUACCGUGAGGGAAAGAUGAAAAGAACUUUGAAAAGAGAGUUAAACAGUACGUGAAAUUGUCAAAAGGGAAGCGUUUGACACCAGUGUUGUUUUUCUGAAAAUCAAUUAAAGAACUGUUUAUGCUAAGCUGUUUAGACUUUAUCAGCUAUCUGUUUAGUUUUGAGCUUUUCUUUAAUGCACUUUUCAGUUAACAAGUCAACAUCAAUUUCUUUUGCUGUAAAAAAGCUUGAGGAAGGUGGCUUGAGAUUCGUCUUAAGUGUUUAUAGCCUCUUGCCUACGCAGUCGGAGAGAUUGAGGUCUGCAGCGUAGAUCCUUCGGGGCUAAAUGCAUUUGUGCUAAGUUAUAGCAUUUUAUAGACAACUUGUUGACUAUGAUUUGUCUUGUAGCUUACUCGCUUAUGUUAUUUUACCUACGCUUAGGAUGUUGACACACGCGCGUGCUCG